UGGGGAAUAUUGCACAAUGGGCGCAAGCCUGAUGCAGCCAUGCCGCGUGUAUGAAGAAGGCCUUCGGGUUGUAAAGUACUUUCAGCGAGGAGGAAGGCAUUGUGGUUAAUAACCGCAGCAAUUGACGUACUCGCAGAAGAAGCACCGGUCAAUCUCG
This 157-nucleotide ribosomal RNA is filed under the name soil bacterium PP-P1-35. Its description in RNAcentral is "partial 16S ribosomal RNA". It matches the Rfam family "Bacterial small subunit ribosomal RNA", at positions 355 to 505 of the family's 1533-position model. The record is from RNAcentral.